CGAAAGCGUGACGCAGCAACGCCGCGUGGGGGAAGAAGGCCUUCGGGUUGUAAACCCCUUUCAGGAGGGACGAAGGUGCGGCGGCGAACAGCCGUCCGUACUGACGGUACCUCCAGAAGAAGCCCCGGCUAACUACGUGCCAGCAGCCGCGGUAAUACGUAGGGGGCAAGCGUUGUCCGGAAUCAUUGGGCGUAAAGCGCGCGUAGGCGGCCCGGUAAGUCCGCUGUGAAAGUCCAGGGCUCAACCCUGGAAAGCCGGUGGAUACUGUCGGGCUCGAGUCCGGAAGAGGCGAGUGGAAUUCCUGGUGUAGCGGUGGAAUGCGCAGAUAUCAGGAGGAACACCGAUAGCGAAGGCAGCUCGCUGGGACGGUACUGACGCUGAGGCGCGAAAGCGUGGGGAGCAAACAGGAUUAGAUACCCUGGUAGUCCACGCCGUAAACGAUGGGCACUAGGUGUGGGAGGUGUCGACUCCUCCCGUGCCGGCGCUAACGCAUUAAGUGCCCCGCCUGGGGAGUACGGCCGCAAGGCUA
This 529-nucleotide ribosomal RNA is filed under the name uncultured Actinomycetes bacterium. RNAcentral's name for it is "bacterial SSU rRNA". It matches the Rfam family "Bacterial small subunit ribosomal RNA", at positions 376 to 896 of the family's 1533-position model. The record is from RNAcentral. Lineage: Bacteria; Bacillati; Actinomycetota; Actinomycetes.